UACCCUCGAAAGAGAUUUCGGUCAAUGGAGAGGACUACUUAGUGGCGGACGGGUGAGUAACGCGUGAGGAACCUGCCUUUCAGAGGGGGACAACAGCUGGAAACGGCUGCUAAUACCGCAUAACGCAUAGGUAUCGCAUGGUACAGAUGCCAAAGAUUUAUCGCUGAGAGAUGGCCUCGCGUCUGAUUAGCUAGUUGGUAGGGUAACGGCCUACCAAGGCGACGAUCAGUAGCCGGACUGAGAGGUUGGCCGGCCACAUUGGGACUGAGAUACGGCCCAGACUCCUACGGGAGGCAGCAGUGGGGAAUAUUGGGCAAUGGGCGAAAGCCUGACCCAGCAACGCCGCGUGAAGGAAGAAGGCUUUCGGGUUGUAAACUUCUUUUAAGAGGGAAGAGCAGAAGACGGUACCUCUUGAAUAAGCCACGGCUAACUACGUGCCAGCAGCCGCGGUAAUACGUAGGUGGCAAGCGUUGUCCGGAUUUACUGGGUGUAAAGGGCGUGCAGCCGGGCUGACAAGUCAGAUGUGAAAUCCCGCGGCUUAACCGCGGAACUGCAUUUGAAACUGUUGGUCUUGAGUAUCGGAGAGGCAGGCGGAAUUCCUAGUGUAGCGGUGAAAUGCGUAGAUAUUAGGAGGAACACCAGUGGCGAAGGCGGCCUGCUGGACGACAACUGACGGUGAGGCGCGAAAGCGUGGGGAGCAAACA
RNAcentral lists this ribosomal RNA (704 nucleotides) under uncultured bacterium. Its description in RNAcentral is "bacterial SSU rRNA". It matches the Rfam family "Bacterial small subunit ribosomal RNA", at positions 59 to 774 of the family's 1533-position model. The record is from RNAcentral.